Bos taurus (domestic cattle) is the source of this 786-nucleotide long non-coding RNA. Lineage: Eukaryota; Metazoa; Chordata; Mammalia; Artiodactyla; Bovidae. The record is from Ensembl.
AGAACUGGAUUUUUUAAAACUCUAGAUGACUAAAAAUGCUUAAAACCACUAUUCUAACACGCAUUUAAUCCUUGAAACCCAGAAACAAUUCAAUGAGCUAUUUGGUUAAGUUAAAUGCAGUUCUUUGAAAUCUGCUUAAAUGCAUGGCUCACUACCCAAAGGUUCCAGAGAACUCCACUUGCCUGCUUGGGAAGCAGCAAACAAGAAAGUGCAUCUGCAGUGAAGAUGACCACUUUUCAAGGAGCAUGCAUCUGCUGCAGUAGGGAGGGGGCACCAAGCCCACCCAUAAAGAGGGCAUCCAUGGUUGUCACAGCCAAGGAAGUUCUCCUCGUGCUCUACCCUGCAAAAGAAGGCUUUGACCCUGUUGUUCUGUCACCAUAAUUCAAGGUGCCUCACUGCCUCUGUGACUCUUCCAAAUGUGGUUCUUGAUGGAUCACAUGUGACCUCAGGGCUUUGUGAAAGCUCUCAUGCACAGGGAGUCCUUACCCCACCCCCUGGCUCAGUUAUGGCAACACCCACUUCUGCACGUCCAUUCUCAUUUUGUUGUCAUUUCCACUUACGUCCCUGGCUGACGUAGCCUACGGCAUGGUUGUACUCCUGGUGUCACUCUAUGAUACAGGCCUGGGGGUGCCCCUGUCUAGCAACUCUGCCUCUCCUGGGUCUAGCUUGCUUCAGGACUCCCUGAGCCUGGCAGCAGCUCUUGGCGAGGCCCCAUAGGGAUUGCCAGGUUUAGCAAAUGAAAAUAUAGGGAUACUCUCACUUUGUUGCACACCUGAAACUAAUACA